This is a long non-coding RNA of Triticum dicoccoides, 305 nucleotides long. RefSeq lists it as uncharacterized. NCBI's taxonomy places the organism in Eukaryota, Viridiplantae, Streptophyta, Magnoliopsida, Poales, Poaceae. The transcript is spliced from 3 exons. The record is from RefSeq and is a predicted model, not a curated record.
UAUGUCCCUAUGCAUCGAGAUGAACAACAUGACAUCCCGUGCAGCAAGUGGUACGAAUCGGAAGAAAUACAUGUUCUCAGUCCACGCGGGGAUGCUACUAAAACAAGACCCAACAACCUUCCAACCAGCAAAACUCAUACCCGAGCUUGAAAGGGCUGUGACAAAGUUCAAGGCGAAUAAAUAUGACCUCCUUUUUUUCACAAUUGUUCAUGAUAAGCACUGGAUAAUUGUUUGCGCAAACUUGCUAUACAAGCAGUGGAAUGUAUUUGACUCAAUCCAUUCAAAAGGAAAACAAUCUCCUUUGA